GGGCUACUUACUCAGUCCUGACACUGGCCCACAAUUCCACCAAGCAGCCGCUGAGGACCUGCUGGCCCCCACUUAUGACACUAGCACCGACCUCACCGAAGUGAUGGAGCAGAUCAACAGCUCCUUUCCAUCCUGUAGCUCAAAUCUCCCCAGCGGGAGUGGGCAACAGGCAAUGUGAAAUAUUCAGCCAACAAACAUUUCCUGACCUUCAGUAUUGCACUUUCCAGCAAAUGCCACUCCCAAGCCCCAUUUAAUCAGAAGUUCCAUGGCUCCUUGAGAAGGCUGCUGAGUACCAAUCUAUGUUCUACUGAAGGAGUGAAGCACCGACUAUCCAAAGAGAGAAGACAAUUUUGUUCUUAUGAUAAACCUAUAUCAUUAUUUGCUCCUUCCCUUUCUAUGCAACUGUAAAUUAAGGAACAGAGCAGUAUUGGGGAAUGGUAAUACAUUUUGUCACCGAUUUGUAUACUGUACACAGCAUUGGGAAGUGGGUGGGGGCUUUCUAAUGUGAUGCUUCUUUUUAAUAACUGUGACAAAAACUUGCAUAGGAACUAGGAGAGAGUUUUACAUUCCUUUUCCAUUAACCUUGUGCAAUAACUUUAUGUAUUUCUUCAACUCUUUUACCUUGGUGGUUAUUUAUAAACUCAUUAGCCACACGACCAAGUAUAUUUCCUAUAUUUGUUUUCAUGAUUUGGCCAAUUAACAGAUUCAUAUAGUUCAGUCAAUUAUAUUACAGGUGCAUGGAUAGGCUACAGCUCUGUGCAUACUUUUUAACUUUAUUUGACAUGAUACACUUAAUUUUUCUUAGCAACCACUUGGAAACAACAACAAAAAAAAAUGUGGCUCUAACAAGUAUGUUUAUUGGUAUUUU
This is a long non-coding RNA of Pipistrellus kuhlii (Kuhl's pipistrelle), 868 nucleotides long. RefSeq lists it as uncharacterized. NCBI's taxonomy places the organism in Eukaryota, Metazoa, Chordata, Mammalia, Chiroptera, Vespertilionidae. The transcript is spliced from 6 exons. The record is from RefSeq and is a predicted model, not a curated record.